This 496-nucleotide ribosomal RNA is filed under the name uncultured bacterium. Its description in RNAcentral is "partial 16S ribosomal RNA". It matches the Rfam family "Bacterial small subunit ribosomal RNA", at positions 28 to 506 of the family's 1533-position model. The record is from RNAcentral.
GAUGAACGCUGGCGGCGUGCCUAGUACAUGCAAGUCGAGCGAACGGACGAGAAGCUUGCUUCUCUGAUGUUAGCGGCGGACGGGUGAGUAACACGUGGAUAACCUACCUAUAAGACUGGGAUAACUUCGGGAAACCGGAGCUAAUACCGGAUAAUAUUUUGAACCGCAUGGUUCAAAAGUGAAAGACGGUCUUGCUGUCACUUAUAGAUGGAUCCGCGCUGCAUUAGCUAGUUGGUAAGGUAACGGCUUACCAAGGCAACGAUGCAUAGCCGACCUGAGAGGGUGAUCGGCCACACUGGAACUGAGACACGGUCCAGACUCCUACGGGAGGCAGCAGUAGGGAAUCUUCCGCAAUGGGCGAAAGCCUGACGGAGCAACGCCGCGUGAGUGAUGAAGGUCUUCGGAUCGUAAAACUCUGUUAUUAGGGAAGAACAUAUGUGUAAGUAACUGUGCACAUCUGGACGGUACCUAAUCAGAAAGCCACGGCUAACUACGU